Molecule: long non-coding RNA, 365 nt
Filed under: Corvus moneduloides (New Caledonian crow)
Lineage: Eukaryota; Metazoa; Chordata; Aves; Passeriformes; Corvidae
Description: lncRNA (ENSCMUG00000019210.1)
Source: RNAcentral
CCUGCCACAAAAAAAUGGAAGUGUGACUACAAGUGGAAGAAUGAGACAAGAGGGAUAUGCAGGAAAAAAAGAUAAAAAUACCUGAACACCAAAGGUUGACAAGUCUUGAGUCUUCAAAACAAACGUAGAAACUUCCAGAUUCUUCAGAUUACUUGAAAGUUCCAGGGACAUAUACAAACUAUUCAAACUUUUCCUUUUGUUUCCUACCAUGAGAAAUCCUGGACACAAAGAAAAAUCUUAUAAUGGACCACUAGCAUUCCUUUCCUUCCCUUCUCCUUCAUAAACAAUAGACUUACUGUACUCCAGUAAUGAUAUACAGACACUCUGGUAUACUCACAAAGAUAAUUCUGCAAUCCAGGUUAUUU